GGGCCCGCACAAGCAGCGGAGCGUGUGGUUUAAUUCGAUGCUACACGAAGAACCUUACCAGGGUUUGACAUGCAAGUGGUAGGAAACCGAAAGGCGACCGACCCUUCGGGGAGCUUGCACAGGUGCUGCAUGGCUGUCGUCAGCUCGUGUCGUGAGAUGUUCGGUUAAGUCCGCUAACGAGCGCAACCCUCGCUGUGUGUUACAAGUGUCACACGGUACUGCCGGUCUUAAGCCGGAGGAAGGUGGGGAUGACGUCAAGUCAGCAUGGCCUUUAUAUCCAGGGCUACACACACGCUACAAUGGUCUGUACAAUGGGUAGCCAAGCCGCGAGGCGGAGCCAAUCCUGAAAGCAGGCCUCAGUUCAGAUUGCAGUCUGCAACUCGACUGCAUGAAGCCGGAGUUGCUAGUAACCGCAGGUCAGCAAUACUGCGGUGAAUACGUUCCCGGGUCUU
This 452-nucleotide ribosomal RNA is filed under the name uncultured Leptolinea sp. Its description in RNAcentral is "bacterial SSU rRNA". It matches the Rfam family "Bacterial small subunit ribosomal RNA", at positions 917 to 1382 of the family's 1533-position model. The record is from RNAcentral. Lineage: Bacteria; Bacillati; Chloroflexota; Anaerolineae; Anaerolineales; Anaerolineaceae.